UGGGGAAUUUUGGACAAUGGGCGAAAGCCUGAUCCAGCAAUGCCGCGUGUGUGAAGAAGGCCUUCGGGUUGUAAAGCACUUUGUCCGGAAAGAAAUCCUUGGCUCUAAUACAGUCGGGGGAUGACGGUACCGGAAGAAUAAGCACCGGCUAACUACGUGCCAGCAGCCGCGGUAAUACGUAGGGUGCAAGCGUUAAUCGGAAUUACUGGGCGUAAAGCGUGCGCAGGCGGUUUGCUAAGACCGAUGUGAAAUCCCCGGGCUCAACCUGGGAACUGCAUUGGUGACUGGCAGGCUAGAGUAUGGCAGAGGGGGGUAGAAUUCCACGUGUAGCAGUGAAAUGCGUAGAGAUGUGGAGGAAUACCGAUGGCGAAGGCAGCCCCCUGGGCCAAUACUGACGCUCAUGCACGAAAGCGUGGGGAGCAAACGGAUA
This 430-nucleotide ribosomal RNA is filed under the name uncultured bacterium. Its description in RNAcentral is "partial 16S ribosomal RNA". It matches the Rfam family "Bacterial small subunit ribosomal RNA", at positions 355 to 778 of the family's 1533-position model. The record is from RNAcentral.